Molecule: long non-coding RNA, 2173 nt
Filed under: Canis lupus familiaris (dog)
Lineage: Eukaryota; Metazoa; Chordata; Mammalia; Carnivora; Canidae
Description: lncRNA (ENSCAFG00000057127.1)
Source: RNAcentral
CCGCCCCGCCCGCCCCCUUCCUCCCGCGCUGCCCUCGGGAGCCCCGACGGCCCCUGCAGCCCUGCGCCGCCGCAGCCCUGCGCGCCCCUCACCCUGGCUGCCCCGCCGCGGCCAGGAGCCCUCGCCCAUGCCCCUCUCCCUGCAGGAGCCGCCGCGAGCGAGGGCGAGCCGGAGGCCGCGAUGGAGCCGCUCUCGUCCGCCGCAGGGGAAGGAGACCCGAGAGAGGAAAGCAAAUUAAAACGAGGAAUUUUGCAAGACGUGACUUCUUCCCCCAAAUUAGACAGAUACAAAAUAGCAAGACAAUUAACAGAAAAGGCCAUCAAGGUAAAUGCCUUUGGGGCUGGGGGGCAAUCUUUAAAAGUUUUUAUUUAUUUCAGUAAUCUCGUCACCCAACCCGAACUCACGACCCCAAGAUCAAGAGUCAUGUGCUAUUCAGGCUGAAACGUCCAGGUAGGGGUGGGAUCACAGGUUUUAAGUGUGGAAACUUGUUUUGGAAUUUGGGGAGCGAGGAGUUGCCUGUGAUGCGCCGAGCUCCCCAGCCUCCACUGGCCUGGCCCCCAGCGCUGACCCCAGUGGGGCCGCGGGGCAGGUCUGUGGGAGCUGGGGGCCCAGGGAUCCGGAGCCCACGGUGCGGGGGAUGGGCUGGGGGUUGCAAGUGCCGCCUGGUCCUGGCUGCUGGGGCACCGUGCUCUCUAGGAUUUCGUGCCAACGCAGCCCCACCAGCUUGUUCAUUCUCGGGUUUUCUAUUGAAACCUCGGACCUGGUGAACGGGAGGCUGCAAACAUCCCUGCAGACGUUGUGUUAGCUGAUUGCACAAGCUUCUAGCUCAUAGUACUUUUGUUGGGAUGUAGUUCUAAGUGUUUUAUGAUUCACAUUAUUACUUUUCACUGAUUGUGGGUCACUUAAGUGUAGUUAAUGCUUAUACUUUUGGUUUUUUUUUUUCUAUUUUUUUCUUGUAUACAAGAUUUUCUCGUUUUGUUACUUUUUUUACUUUUUAUUUAAAUUCAAUUUAAUUAAUAUAUAAUGUAUUAUGGUUUCAGAGGUAGAAUCAGUGACACGUCAGUUCCCCAUAACUCCCCGUGCUCAUUGCGCCACGGGCCCUCCUUCAUGCCCGUCCCCCAGGGAUCCUGUCUGCUCCAGGGACCCUUAAUUUAUUUCCUGUGAUUCAGUCUCUCACGGUUUGCCUCCCUCUCUGAUUUCGUCUUGUUUUAUUUUUGCCUCCCUUCCCCUGUUUUGUUUCUUAAAUUCCACAUACGAGUGAGAUCACAGGGCAAUCGUCUUUCUCUGGCUGUCUUGUGUCACUCAGCGUCACACCCUCCAGGUCCAUCCACGUCGUCACAAAUGGGGAGAUUUCUUUGUCUGAUGGUUGAGGAAUAUUCCGUUGUAUAUGUAGGCCACACCUCGUGGAUCUGUGUUCUGUCCGCGGACACCGUGGCUCCUUCCACAGUCUGGCUCUUGUGGACGUGGCCACUGUGAACACUGAAGUCUAGUUGCCCCUUUGGAUCACUGUGUUUGUAUCCUUUAGAUAAGUACCAUUUUUUUCUAUUUUGUCACUGAUUUCUAGCUUGAUUGCAUGUGCUUAAGAAUGUAAUCUGCAUAAUGUCGUCCCAUUAAAAUGUGUUCAGACUUGCAUUAUGGCCAGCAAUCUGGGCGUUCGUGUGAAAGUCGACAUGGGUUACUCUAUUCCUAGUCAUCAGGGCAGAGCUGGUUGUUUGCGUUUGUUCAACUCGUUGAGGCUGCUUGAAAUCUCUGGGCUGUGUGCUCGGUCACGUACCGAGAGAAGCGUGUUAACACCCUGCUACCAGUGUGGACUCCUUCACUUUGUGGUUGCCAAGGUUUGCUCUGUAUGAUGGACGGCCCUCUUACCAGGUGCCUCCAGGAGUAUCCUCCCGGAGAAUGGAAUUUUUUAAUAUAUUAUGGCAUGAUUUUCUUUAUGUCAGUGAUUUAUUUUGUCCCAAAGGCUAUUUUCUUCCUUUUAUGUCCCACCUACCUGUAGGCUUGCGCUUUAGGUUUUCUCAGGUAAACAACAUAGAUUGAGAUUUUUAAAAAUCCAGCGUGGCGCUCUACACCCUUCUCCUGGAGCGGUUGGUGUGUUCAUCUGUAACGGCUCCCCCGGUGCCCCGGACGCCCCUGGGUGUCCCCGUGUCCUCGCUCCUUCCUCCUGUCCGCUCUG